This 253-nucleotide ribosomal RNA is filed under the name uncultured bacterium. RNAcentral's name for it is "partial 16S ribosomal RNA". It matches the Rfam family "Bacterial small subunit ribosomal RNA", at positions 524 to 776 of the family's 1533-position model. The record is from RNAcentral.
UACGGAGGGUGCAAGCGUUAUCCGGAUUCACUGGGUUUAAAGGGCGCGUAGGCGGCCUGUUAAGUCGGACGUGAGAUCCCUCGGCUCAACCGGGGAACUGCGUCCGAUACUGGCGGGCUUGAAUUCGGGAGAGGGAUGUGGAAUUCCAGGUGUAGCGGUGAAAUGCGUAGAUAUCUGGAGGAACACCGGUGGCGAAGGCGGCAUCCUGGACCGACAUUGACGCUGAGGCGCGAAAGCCAGGGGAGCAAACGGG